GCAGUAUUAAGUGGUGCUGGGAGCAGGGCAUUGUGUAACUCUCCAGAGUUUGGCUGGUGGUGGGUGGUUGAGAGCAUCCUGCUUCUGGACAGGCUGGUUCUCCUUUGGAUCUUACAGAUGCUUUGUGAUUAUCUAUUGUUUAAAGGAACAGGGCUUGUGAGUGGAUUAAAAACUCACUGUUAUCUACAAACGAAGCAUACUCCUACAAGGAGAGCUGAAAAGGAUGCAAAUCUAUUCUACAAUUUAAACUUGAACUGUUUAUGACAGAUGUAUAUUAAUAUAAAAUUCUUUUCUUAAUGCACACAUGGGCGAAGCAGAUUGCACAGAAAUAACUGGGCUAAUUAAAAUUGAGCGAAUGUUUUAAUUUCUGUUAAAUACAACAGCAUAUUUUCUACCUGCAUCAGCUCUAUGCCUUAUUCUUUUUGAGAUAUUGGAAAGCAAGUAAAAUAGUUGACUGCAUUACAUCAAAAGAACUGAUUUUUUGUUUCCCAGCCCUUUAAUGUAUUUUUCUGUUAGAAUGCAUCCUGUUCAAUCAAAAUGGUCUUGUUCUAACUAUUGCUUUGUGUCUUUCUACAUAGAAAUUCAGUUUCUUAUAUGCACAUGCAUGAUAAUAAUUUGAGGUUAAUGACAACCCUGAGAAACAAUUUUAAUUUCUAAUGCUUAGAAAUGAACAAGUUGGUUUGAAUAAUGAAUCAUUACCUGUCAACUUCAGACUUUUACGCAGAAUGUAAAUACUUUGCUUUCUUCGUGUUCUUCCUUGGGAUCAAGUGGACUAGGCAUUCAGUCUUGUGAAGUGUAAGCUUCUCUUUCACAAACUGCAGUAUAAAUGAAAACAAAUUCUCCUCUUAGUGUCUUUUUGUCUUGCUACUUGUAGCAUCUAGUACUGAAUUAAUAUCAUGCUCACAACAUCUAUUGAUUUCCAGGAAUAAUGUAUCAGAUAUCCAGUUAUAUGAGCUAUCAUCUGUCUUCUUAUGAAUUGAUUCUAUUUGCUCAUCUUUCCAAUUUGUCCAGUGUCUUUAUUUGCAUUAAUACUGCCCCUGCAGCCUGCCAUAUUUUGUCUUACUCCAUAAUAGCAACGUAAUUCAUAGUUUUUUCAAUAUUUAUUGCUAAUAAUAAUUACCUGGGUCCUGUUCUGCAUGUGGGAGGUUUCCAGCUCGUUAGUGACUUUUCAGGGACUGUGAAUCAUAUUGUUAGUGUUUAAUAUAUAUGGGCAAAA
This is a long non-coding RNA of Tympanuchus pallidicinctus (lesser prairie-chicken), 1216 nucleotides long. RefSeq lists it as uncharacterized. The transcript is spliced from 3 exons. The record is from RefSeq and is a predicted model, not a curated record. Lineage: Eukaryota; Metazoa; Chordata; Aves; Galliformes; Phasianidae.